This 388-nucleotide ribosomal RNA is filed under the name uncultured bacterium. RNAcentral's name for it is "bacterial SSU rRNA". It matches the Rfam family "Bacterial small subunit ribosomal RNA", at positions 28 to 417 of the family's 1533-position model. The record is from RNAcentral.
GACGAACGCUGGCGGCGUGCUUAACACAUGCAAGUCGAGCGGUAAGGCCCUUUCGGGGGUACACGAGCGGCGAACGGGUGAGUAACACGUGGGUGACCUGCCCUCAGCUCUGGGAUAAGCCCGGGAAACUGGGUCUAAUACCGGAUAUGACUCCAUGACGCAUGUUGUGGGGUGGAAAGCCUUGUGCGGCUGAGGAUGGGGCCCGCGGCCUAUCAGCUUGUUGGUGGGGUGAUGGCCACCAAGGCGACGACGGGUAGCCGGCCUGAGAGGGCGACCGGCCACACUGGGACUGAGAUACGGCCCAGACUCCUACGGGAGGCAGCAGUGGGGAAUCUUGCGCAAUGGGCGAAAGCCUGACGCAGCGACGCCGCGUGAGGGAUGACGGCCU